Molecule: long non-coding RNA, 536 nt
Organism: Spinacia oleracea (spinach)
Lineage: Eukaryota; Viridiplantae; Streptophyta; Magnoliopsida; Caryophyllales; Amaranthaceae
Exons: 4
Source: RefSeq, a predicted model, not a curated record
CUCCUCCCAAUGUACGCGUUGUGUGACUUUUCUACUUCCUCUCCCUAGAACUCCUUCCAUUUCAAACCGUAGAAUUCUAUCUCUUUGUUUCGUCCAAAUCGUUCCAUGGGAUUUCGAAAAAGAAGCUUCGAUCUGGUUCCUUCCAACUCCCCUCGUCCCAAAUUUCAACCCCGAUCUACAGAGAGAUAAAGAGAUGGCGGAUGAGAGAGAGGACGUCGAACUCGUACUUUGCUUGAAGUUCUACCUUCACUUCGUCAAUUGUGAUUGUUAUUGAAUAUUCAGAAGAAUGGAGUUUACGGAUGCUUAUAAGCAGACUGGGCCCUGCUGUUUUUCUCCCAAUGCUCGCUACAUUGCUGCUGCAGUUGAUUAUCGUCUGGUGAUUCGAGACACUCGGUCAUUUAAGUGGGCUCUGAACGCUGCGAAAUUAUAAAAAAAAUCCUCCACUGCAAAAUUGCUCCAUCGAUGGGGAAAGGCGAGAUGGAGCUGCUGACCUUUGAAUUGAACCAUGAUUCUUCCAGUUUGUUGCUUCACCUACG